Long non-coding RNA from Oncorhynchus keta (chum salmon), 707 nucleotides. RefSeq lists it as uncharacterized. The record is from RefSeq and is a predicted model, not a curated record. NCBI's taxonomy places the organism in Eukaryota, Metazoa, Chordata, Actinopteri, Salmoniformes, Salmonidae. The transcript has 3 exons.
AGUGAAAUGCUGAAUACAACAGGUGUAGGUAGACCUUACAGUGAAAUGCUGAAUACAACAGGUGUAGGUAGACCUCACAGUGAAAUGCUGAAUACAACAGGUGUAGGUAGACCUUACAGUGAAAUGCUGAAUACAACAGGUGUAGGUAGACCUUACAGUGAAAUGCUGAAUACAACAGGUGUGGUAGACCUCACAGUGAAAUGCUGAAUACAACAGGUGUAGUAGACCUUACAGUGAAAUGCUGAAUACAACAGGUGUAGUAGACCUUACAGUGAAAUGCCGAAUACAACAGGUGUAGUAGACCUUACAGUGAAAUGCUGAAUACAACAGGUGUAGUAGACCUUACAGUGAAAUGCUGAAUACAACAGGUGUAGUAGACCUCACAGUGAAAUGCUGAAUACAACAGGUGUAGUAGACCUCACAGUGAAAUGCUGAAUACAACAGGUGUAGUAGACCUCACAGUGAAAUGCUGAAUACAACAGGUGUAGUAGACCUCACAGUGAAAUGCUGAAUACAACAGGUGUAGUAGACCUCACAGUGAAAUGCUGAAUACAACAGGUGUAGUAGACCUUACAGUGAAAUGCUGAAUACAACAGGUGUAGUAGACCUCACAGUGAAAUGCUGAAUACAACAGGUGUAGUAGACCUCACAGUGAAAUGCUGAAUACAACAGGUGUAGUAGACCUUACAGUGAAAUGCUGAACACAA